Molecule: ribosomal RNA, 416 nt
Filed under: uncultured eukaryote
Lineage: Eukaryota
Description: bacterial SSU rRNA
Rfam family: Eukaryotic small subunit ribosomal RNA
Source: RNAcentral
CAAUAGCGUAUAUUAAAGUUGUUGCAGUUAAAAAGCUCGUAGUUGGAGUUCAGAGUGAGCUCGUCCGGUCGGCCUUAUGGGUCAGAACUGGUUGACUCUCUCUUGUUUGUGGAUCCUGUCAGCAGUUAACUCUGUUGAUGUGGAGUCCACAUCGUUUACCUUGAAAAAAUUAGAGUGUUCAAAGCAGGCGUUUGCUUGAAUAUAUUAGCAUGGAAUAAUAAGAUAGGACCUUGGUUCUAUUUUGUUGGUUUGCACGCCGAGGUAAUGAUUAAUAGGGAUAGUUGGGGGUAUUCGUAUUCAAUUGUCAGAGGUGAAAUUCUUGGAUUUAUGGAAGACGAACUACUGCGAAAGCAUUUACCAAGGAUGUUUUCAUUAAUCAAGAACGAAAGUUAGGGGAUCGAAGAUGAUUAGAUACC